CCUGGCUUCCUUCAGUGAUGAACAGCAAUGCUGAAGUGUAAGCCUAAUAAACCCUUUCCUCCCCCACAGUGUUUCAUCACAGCAGUAGAAGCCCCAACUGUGAUGAGUCGGCACCAGGAUUGUGUGGUAUUGCUGUGACAGACCUGACCAGGUUGUUUUGGGGAGGUCUGUGGAAGGACUUGGGAACCUGGGCCUAGAAAAGUCAUUAUUGAGUGUUCAAUGUUGGGUGAGCUGUUCUGUAGGAGCUUGGAAUACAGACAAUGGAGGCCUGGCUCGUGAAGUCUCAGAGGGAAGUUUAAAGACUGUUGGUCCGUUUGUUGUUGUGAAUUAAGAUUCUGUCACUCUGGUUAGCCAGGACUGAAGAAUCGGCUGUGAUUAACAUGAUGUCAGGACUAUUAAAGGGAAACCUUUGCUUUGCUGGGACACUUGAUGCUGGUCGGUUGGAGCUGAGAAAUUAAGAGGCCAGCAUUGUUGAGGUGAAAUUUUCUGUGAAGCAUUUCCUGAGAGUCAACACACAGAAGCUGUGUUCCGGUGGCCAAGAUUGUACCUCGUGCUGGCAGCCAAACUUGGUAACGUGAGAGUCACCCAUGUGGUGCUGAUUUUGAAAUCCUGAAGGGGUCAUGGAGAGCAGCUGAGGCUAGGUGCUGUGAGAGGUCGGGAGAGGCCCUUGGUGAAGGUGCAGGCUCCGAGGCAGCUGAAGACCCAGGACUGAAGGGGUCACGCAGAGAAGCUGAGGCACCAUGAGGAGAGCCUAGCCUGUGGGAACCUAUUGGUGAUAGUGCAGCCCUCCCCGCCGAGCACUUUGGAGGUGCCGGUACCAUGGGAUGACCACCAAGAACAACAGCAGCCUUGGAAUGGAGUCAACUGGAGCUUAAAGGGAAGCUGUCCGCGCUGCAGAGGGGGGAGCCAGAGAAGUGACCCAUGCCCUUUGGAGGAGCCCAGGAGACGGGCUCUGGUAACAGACCAAAGGAAGAAAUGCACCCGAGUCUGCUGUGGUGAAUCAACGGGUUUACCAAAUACUUUGAAGAAAGUGGGUAGGGGCUUACACACUGGAGCAUAGGAGACUGAAAAGCCUAACCCAGCAUAGCUGAUGACUCACAAAGGCUGCACUCCGGGAGCUUCCAUCCUGCCCAACUUACAGAAAGCUGCACCGCAGAAUCUCCUUUUGCUGUUCCCUGAGAUUGUUUGCUGCUCGCAUGACCUUGGGGAAGGUCCUUGCAAGUGUGGAAACUUUCUUCGGCUUCCUUAUGUGUUUCCCUCACCACUCCAGGAGGUAAUGCAUCAAUUCAGAAGAAAUAGCUACACAACAGGACCUGACGGAAAGUGCCUAUAAUAGAAAGUGUCUCUUGGGGUGACUUGAAUCAGGAAAUCCAGACACAGUAAUAGCUGCGACUCUAACCUCGGCUGUUUCAAGAUAGGGACUCGAGCCGGGAUGACAUUCCUUCAUGCACUGACCUCAUUCCAGACAGUAAACGUCUGCCGAGUACCUGCUCUGUGCUGGUUGUAAUCAUACACAGGGCAUAAGACACCAGGUGUGACUGGGGGCACAGGUCUAUAAUUGAAAAUAUUCAGGAGACUAAGGCAGGAGAAUCUCAAGCUCACGGCCUACUUAGGCACAGAAUACAUUCAAGGACAGACUCAAACUCUAUUACAGUGUAAGCUGAAGUUAAAUGCUUGCUUUUACAAGUUGCCUUGGUUGUGGCGUCUACUACAGCAAUAGAAAAGUGGCCAAGACACCCACUAUCACAGAGUUUUCAUUUUAAAAUGUAAAAGCACGUUUUGGGUUUAUUUACUGUGUGUGUAUGACUAUUGUACCUGCAUGAUGUAUGUGUACCACGGACAUGCCUGAUGCCCAUGGAGGACAGACGGAAACACAGGAUCCCUGGAGCUGGGGUUACAGGUGAUGCAGAUGCUCUGAGCCAGUCGCCGGCGUUUUACCACAGUGUGUCUUUGAAAAGGAGCUGAGCUGAUCAUGAGAAGGAAGUUAAGAGAGUCCACACUCUGGGAACGACCUCUAGUUCUCCACUGGCCACAGAAAGAGUCCUGAUCUCUCCCGCCCCUGCUCCAGGUGUAGCCGCCCUUGAUUCCUGGUCUCCCAUGAAGGGGCAGCGAGUGGUCACUGCCCCAGCUUUGCUUCACGGCGACUGACCCCAGUUGUGGCCUGAAAAGCUGGCCCAGCAAACUGCUAAGAAAACUACUGUUUGGAUUCUGGUUUACCGUUGUCGUUUGUGUGGAAGCGCAGUGUAGGCACUGUGGGAAAUCUGCUUUGGGGCGGGCAAGACAGCUCAGGGGUUAAAGCACUUGCUGGCAAGGAUGAUGACUUGAGUUCAAAUCCCCAGGACCCACAUUAUGGAAGGGAAAGUGGACUCCCUGUAAGCUUUCCUCUGACCUCCUCCAUACCCUGUGUGUGCACACUCACACACACCCAACAUGUACAUACACACACAUAAAUAAAUAAAUGCAAUAUUAAAAAUUUUAAGGAUAUUUUCCCAUUGUUGGAAAUGACUGAUAC
This is a long non-coding RNA of Mesocricetus auratus (golden hamster), 2512 nucleotides long. RefSeq lists it as uncharacterized. The transcript has 3 exons. Lineage: Eukaryota; Metazoa; Chordata; Mammalia; Rodentia; Cricetidae. The record is from RefSeq and is a predicted model, not a curated record.